Molecule: long non-coding RNA, 530 nt
Filed under: Nicotiana benthamiana
Lineage: Eukaryota; Viridiplantae; Streptophyta; Magnoliopsida; Solanales; Solanaceae
Description: long non-coding RNA (NBEN_LNC019063)
Source: RNAcentral
CUGCAAUAGAUCCAUCAGUUUUAAAUGUCCAAACAACACUUCAAUAGCUUUACAAACCAAACCUACUGACUUUAAGAAAACUAUCCAAACUUACAAACCGAAUUCAAUCUAGAAACGUAAAUGAACAGGUAAUACAUGAAAAGGAACUAAGUUACUAUAGAAUUGAGUGAGUUCAAGAAUACAAAAAUGGCAUUGAUGAACAUAUAUGCCAUAAACUUCCAACUUAACCAAUAGCUGUAAAUCUUUUCAUUUCAACAUGUCAAGUGAGAUUUAGUAAGUAUUUGAAUACAGCAUAAUAAACCAGAAUAAUAGCUUGAGAUUAGGAGGAAAUAGCGACAGUCUGUCAGCAGCACCAAAACAGCCAAACAAACAGCAAUACUCAAUCUUUUAAAACCAUUUUAAGCCCAGAAUAAACCAGAGAUACUUGAAAGUUUCAAGUUUUUAAGAAUGACAAUAAGCCUUAAACCAAUUUGAACCAAGAAGGUAGAAAAUUCAGUAUUCUUUUUAAGGUGUUCUUUCAGCCGUUUUUG